AACAAUGCUUUUUUGGCGACAUUAUAGUACAGUUACACUUUGUAAACAAUGCUUUUAUAGGCCAUAGAGCAUACACUUUUUCAAAGAGUUUAAUUAUGUAUGUACUUAUAUUAGACUUUUUGGUUAUUUAAAUGCCAGAUUAAAGUAGAGGAGUAGAAAAUAGUAUUUUAUGCAACAGUUGUAUAAGAAGGGUCAAAAAAUGCGAGUGGCGUGAGUUGCGAUGUGAGCCUUGGCGAACAUCGCAAUAAGAGACGCCACGAGCACUUUUUGACCUAGUUAUACAACGUUGCAUACAAUACUUUUUCUACGACGACGUAAUUUUAAAUGAAACAAAAAUUAUACAAAGAAAAAUUUUAUUUAUAAAAAUUAUUUUCCAACGCGCGGGAAAAUGGCGGCAAAUGUAUACUUUUUUUUUAUAGUAUAUCUAUGGCACCAAACAAAGUAAAGGUGCCAGUUUCCAGGUCAAAAAAAAAAACAACAACAAUGCUUUUUUGGCGACAUUAUAGUACAGUUACACUUUGUAAACAAUGCUUUUAUAGGCCAUAGAGCGUACACUUUUUCAAAGAGUUUAAUUAUGUAUGUACUUAUAUUAGACUUUUUGGUUAUUUAAAUGCCAGAUUAAAGUAGAGGAGUAGAAAAAAUUA
Molecule: long non-coding RNA, 644 nt
Filed under: Pectinophora gossypiella (pink bollworm)
Lineage: Eukaryota; Metazoa; Arthropoda; Insecta; Lepidoptera; Gelechiidae
Description: uncharacterized LOC126367412
Source: RNAcentral